UUGGCUAAAAAGUUCAUUUGGGUUUUUCAUAACAUCUUAGGGAAAAACCUGAAUGAAGUUUUUGGCCAA
RNAcentral lists this microRNA precursor (69 nucleotides) under Tursiops truncatus (common bottlenose dolphin). RNAcentral describes it as "miRNA (ENSTTRG00000025112.1)". The record is from RNAcentral. Lineage: Eukaryota; Metazoa; Chordata; Mammalia; Artiodactyla; Delphinidae.